GACGAACGCUGGCGGCGUGCCUAAUACAUGCAAGUCGAACGCAGUGGGGACGGGUGAGUAACACGUGGGUAACCUCCCAUCAGAGGGGAUAACACUUGGAAAAAGGUGCUAAAACGAUACUGAUGGAUGGACCCGCGGGGCAUUAGCUAGUUGGUGAGGAAACGGCUCACCAAGGCCACGAUGCAGAGCCGGCCUGAGAGGAUGAUCGGCCACACUGGAACUGAUAAACGGCCCAGACGCCUACGGGAGGCAGCAGUGGGGAAUAUUGGGCAAGGGGCGAAAGUCUGACCGAGCCACGCCGCGUGAAUGAAGAAGGUUUUCGGAUCGUAAAACUCUUUUAUUGGAGAAGCGGUAUCUAACCAGAAAGCCACGGCUAACUACGUGCCAGCAGCCGCGGUAAUAC
Molecule: ribosomal RNA, 403 nt
Filed under: uncultured bacterium
Lineage: Bacteria
Description: partial 16S ribosomal RNA
Rfam family: Bacterial small subunit ribosomal RNA
Source: RNAcentral